GAUGAACGCUGGCGGCGUGCCUAAUACAUGCAAGUCGAACGCACAGCGAGAGGUGCUUGCACCUUUCAAGUGAGUGGCGAACGGGUGAGUAACACGUGGACAACCUGCCUCAAGGCUGGGGAUAACAUUUGGAAACAGAUGCUAAUACCGAAUAAAACUCAGUGUCGCAUGACACAAAGUUAAAAGGCGCUUUGGCGUCACCUAGAGAUGGAUCCGCGGUGCAUUAGUUAGUUGGUGGGGUAAAGGCCUACCAAGACAAUGAUGCAUAGCCGAGGUGAGAGACUGAUCGGCCACAUUGGGACUGAGACACGGCCCAAACUCCUACGGGAGGCUGCAGUAGGGAAUCUUCCACAAUGGGCGAAAGCCUGAUGGAGCAACGCCGCGUGUGUGAUGAAGGCUUUCGGGUCGUAAAGCACUGUUGUAUGGGAAGAACAGCUAGAAUAGGGAAUGAUUUUAGUUUGACGGUACCAUACCAGAAAGGGACGGCUAAAUACGUGCCAGCAGCCGCGGUAA
This 513-nucleotide ribosomal RNA is filed under the name uncultured bacterium. Its description in RNAcentral is "partial 16S ribosomal RNA". It matches the Rfam family "Bacterial small subunit ribosomal RNA", at positions 28 to 523 of the family's 1533-position model. The record is from RNAcentral.